Long non-coding RNA from Oncorhynchus tshawytscha (Chinook salmon), 3510 nucleotides. The record is from Ensembl. NCBI's taxonomy places the organism in Eukaryota, Metazoa, Chordata, Actinopteri, Salmoniformes, Salmonidae.
GUCACACCUGACUCCAAUAAUCACCUAAUCAUGAUCUUCAGUUUAGAAUGAAAUUUGAUUAAGCAGCUGUGUUUGGUAGGCAUGUGUGACACCAAUCAGGCCCUACAGGACUGGAGUUGCCCACCCCUGGUCAAUGGCAUUGUGACCUUUCAUGGUUCUGCAUGGGGCUGCAGUUAGCCUAUUGGUUAGAGCAUGUCAAACUCAUUCCAUGGAGGGCCUACUGUCUGCAGGUUUUUGCUUCUCCCUUGUGCUUGAUUGAUGAAUUAAGGUCACUGAUUAUUAAGGAACUCCCCUCACCUGGUUGUCUAUGUUUUAAAUGAAAGGAAAAAACUCAAACCUGCAGCCAUGGCCCUGCAUGGAAUGAGUUUGACACCCCUGUGUUAGAGCGUUGGGUUAGUAACCGAAAGGUUGCUGGUUGAGUACCUGAGCCGACAAGGUGAAAACUGUAUGUGCCCAUGAGCAAGGCACCUACAGUAACCCUAAUUUGCUCCAGGAGUCCCUUACUACUAUGGCUGAUCCUGUAAAACAACACACUGGAUGUGUGCAGUGAAAUGUAUGUGAUGAUAAAACACAUUCAAACAUUUUUUAUUAACUGAAUGAUGACAUUACUGAGAGAGCUUGAUAUGAGUUGGGUCCUGUGGGUAGGUCUUGAGGGAGGUAAAGGGCCUUUUCUAUAGAUAGACAUAAGGCUGCAGUUGGUCACAUCACCACUGGAUGGCAGUAGAGGCACAACUCAGUGAUGAGCAGACUAAACAGCACCUACGCUUGAGAACAUUCAGAAGGGCACUUCUGGGAAGCUUCCAACUUAAGUAAAAUAAAAUAACUUGCUAACUGUUUUAGCUUGAAUGGAUAUGCCUAUCAUCCUAAAACCUGGCAAGCACAGAGUAGGCUAAUUAAUAACCAUGUAAGUAAGUAGAACUUACUUAAUUAUUUACAUGGUUGAUUUCAUGAACCCCCAAUGCUGUCAAUUGAAGUGAAACCAAAGAUUCCAUUGCUUCACAAAAGCACAUGAUAGUGGGUAAAUAAAAAAACAAUUUGGCAAAGCGUUGACAGUAUGUAAACCCAAAUCUGCAGUGAUAUUGAUAACAUGGGAUGCCAAGGUCAUACAGGAUGGUUGAUUAAGGCUGAUAUUGGACAUUUUUGUUUUGUUAUUUUGGUCUGCAGUCGGUAGGUGGGUGUUUCACCUACGGGGGGGGGCUCCCCAUGCUGAUAGGUCAAUAUAUGGACUGGAAACCGGGGGGUAAGCCUCCCUCCGCAGAGAUAGAUAAAAUAACUGGAAUAUAGUCAAUGCUUAUCAAAGCACACAUAUCAGAUGUAUAUGUUUUGGCUGUUGCUUUAUCUUCACAGGGAGGUCAAGGUGUGCCUCAUUGACAAGCUAGCUAGGUGUCAGGGCCUGUUGAAGGAAGGUUGCUGUUGUAGGCAAUAGUUAGGAUAUAUUAUAUUUUCAUAGGUGCUGUGUUUCUGGAUGCAGGCCCUGCCCAGGAACAUGAGGAAAACACAAAGAACAAUGAUUUGAGGGCCCCCCCCAAGUUCUCCCACCUAAAAAGAUAAGAGAGGCCUGUAAUUUUCAUCAUAGGUACACUUCAACUAUGACAGACAAAAUUAGAGAAAAAAAAUCCAGAAAAUCACAUUGUAGGAUGUUUAAUGAAUUUAUUUGCAAAUUAUGGUGGAAAAUAAGUAUUUGGUCAAUAACAAAAGUUUAUCUCAAUACUUUGUUUCUAUACCCUUUGUUGGCAAUGACAGAGGUCAAAUGUUUUCUGUAAGUCUUCACAAGGUUUUCACACACUGUUGCUGGUAUUUUGGCCCAUUCCUCCAUGCAGAUCUCUAGAGCAGUGAUGUUUUGGGGCUGUUGCUGGGCAACACGGACUUUCAACUCCCUCCAAAGAUUUUCUAUGGGGUUGAGAUCUGGAGACUGGCUAGGCCACUCCAGGACCUUGAAAUGCUUGUUACAAAGCCACUCCUUCGCUGACCGGGCGGUGUGUUUGGGAUCAUUGUCAUGCUGAAAGACCCCGCCACGUUUCAUGGCACUGCAGGAGUUGAGUCCCUGGUGGCGUAGUGUGUUACUGAUGGUAGGCUUUGUUACUUUGGUCCUAGCUCUCUGCAGGUCAUUCACUAGGUCCCCGCGUGUGGUUCUGGGAUUUUUGCUCACUGUUCUUGUGAUCAUUUUGACCCCACGGGGUGAGAUCUUGCGUGGAGCCCCAGAUCGAGGGAGAUUAUCAGUGGUCUUGUAUGUCUUCCAUUUCCUAAUAAUUGCUCCCACAGUUGAUUUCUUCAAACCAAGCUGCUUACCUAUUGCAGAUUCAGUCUUCCCAGACUGGUGCAGGUCUACAAUUUUGUUUCUGGUGUUCUUUGACAGCUCUUUGGUCUUGGCCAUAGUGGAGUUUGGAGUGUGACUGUUUGAGGUUGUGGACAGGUGUCUUUUAUACUGAUAACAAGUUCAAACAGGUGCCAUUAAUACAGGUAACGAGUGGAGGACAGAGGAGCCUCUAAAGAAGAAGUUACAGGUCUGUGAGAGCCAGAAAUGUUUUUCUGGAUUUUUUUUCUCAUUUUGUCUGUCAUAGUUGAGGUGUACCUAUGAUGAAAAUUACAGGCCUCUCUCAUCUUUUUAAGUGGGAGAACUUGCACAAUUGGUGGCUGACUAAAUACUUUUUUGCCCCACUGUAUAUGGAUCUCUCUCCAACAGUAACCAGUUAAUUGACUACAGAAAUGUGUGUUAGAUACCAAACGUUGAUGCAAUAGCGUUAUUCUAUCAGAAACUUGUCCCCUGAGGAGAACUCUAAUACUAUUUAUAUGGGUGUAUGGUCUCUGUGGUAACUUGUCAGUACAGGGUGAACUCUAAACUACUCUAUUAAAAGGGGCUUUAUUGUCUUUAGGAACUCUGCCUUAUUUGCAUUAGGUCUCCUUUAGACCUUUAGCUGCUGUGACAUCCUGUGGAGAUUGGGCCUGGCUGAUCAGUAACUUGGUAUCGUUUGAUGGGUCAAUAGUGGUAGGUUUAGGUUUGAAAGUGUCACCUUGUGUUAUGAAUGGAAUGAAGUGCCUUUGUUCAGUCUCUUAUCCUGUCCAUGGAGAACGGUUGUAUGAUCACUAUGGAGAAUGAUUGUAUGAUCACCACGGAGAACGGUUGUAUGAUCACCACGGAGAACGGUUGUAUGAUCACCAUGGAGAACGGUUGUAUGAUCACCACGGAGAACGGUUGUAUGAUCACCACGGAGAACGGUUGUAUGAUCACCACGGAGAACGGUUGUAUGAUCACCACGGAGAACGGUUGUAUGAUCACCACGGAGAACGGUUGUAUGAUCAAUUCUCAUUUCAUAUUAGGCGUCUCUUUUUUCAUGCUUUGGCUUGUAACUGUAAGAUUUGUAUGCCUAGAUUGUGAAUGCUAUGCAACUUAAACUUUAUGCCUUGUAUAAUGUUAUAAUUCAUUUGACAAAGUAAUUAAAUACACUUCCAUUUUGCAAUCACUUCUCAUGACCAUUUCUUGAUCUUAGUCAGCUAAACGCAUAAUACUUG